RNAcentral lists this ribosomal RNA (508 nucleotides) under uncultured Sclerocystis. RNAcentral describes it as "SSU rRNA". It matches the Rfam family "Eukaryotic small subunit ribosomal RNA", at positions 569 to 1078 of the family's 1831-position model. Lineage: Eukaryota; Fungi; Glomeromycota; Glomeromycetes; Glomerales; Glomeraceae. The record is from RNAcentral.
AGCAGCCGCGGUAAUUCCAGCUCCAAUAGCGUAUAUUAAAGUUGUUGCAGUUAAAAAGCUCGUAGUUGAAUUUCGGGGUCAGCAGGUCGGUCGUGCCUAUGGUAUGCACUGGCCUUGCUGAUUCCUCCCUCUUGAUGAGCCGUGAUGCCAUUAGUUUGGUGUUGCGGGGAAUCAGGACUGUUACUUUGAAAAAAUUAGAGUGUUUAAAGCAGGCAUACGCUUGAAUACAUUAGCAUGGAAUAAUGAAAUAGGACGUUCGAUCCUAUUUUGUUGGUUUCUAGGAUUGACGUAAUGAUUAAUAGGGAUAGUUGGGGGCAUUAGUAUUCAAUUGUCAGAGGUGAAAUUCUUGGAUUUAUUGAAGACUAACUACUGCGAAAGCAUUUGCCAAGGAUGUUUUCAUUAAUCAAGAACGAAAGUUAGGGGAUCGAAGACGAUCAGAUACCGUCGUAGUCUUAACCAUAAACUAUGCCGACUAGGGAUCGGAUGAUGUUAAUUUUUUAAUGACUCA